Molecule: ribosomal RNA, 253 nt
Filed under: uncultured bacterium
Lineage: Bacteria
Description: partial 16S ribosomal RNA
Rfam family: Bacterial small subunit ribosomal RNA
Source: RNAcentral
GACAGAGGGUGCAAACGUUGCUCGGAUUUACUGGGCGUAAAGCGCGUGUAGGCGGCUUCGCGAGUCCGAUGUGAAAGCCCAGGGCUCAACCCUGGAAGGGCAUUGGAUACUACGAAGCUGGAGGCUUGUAGAGGAGAGCGGAAUUCCCGGUGUAGAGGUGAAAUUCGUAGAUAUCGGGAGGAACACCAGUGGCGAAGGCGGCUCUCUGGACAAGUACUGACGCUGAGACGCGAAAGCGUGGGUAGCAAACAGG